Long non-coding RNA from Suricata suricatta (meerkat), 615 nucleotides. RefSeq lists it as uncharacterized. The transcript is spliced from 2 exons. The record is from RefSeq and is a predicted model, not a curated record. Lineage: Eukaryota; Metazoa; Chordata; Mammalia; Carnivora; Herpestidae.
GGUGGGUCCCAGCCUCCUGGAGGCCCGUGGCUGCGGCACCUUCUCGGCUCCAGGCCCAGUCACACCUGCGUUCUGCUGGGAGAGCGCUGCCUGACUUCAAAGCAGACCUUGGUGCCGUGAGGAGGGACAGGCAUUCCCACGUCUUUGAAGCUCCCCGGGACAGGACAGGACUCUUUAGGAGGCCUCUUGCAGGCCCUCCCUCCAUCUCCAUAAUGUGGUCAUUACCAAGACUUCCCCUCCCGCAGCCCCAGGCACGGCAGAUUCUGGGUCACUGACCCGGAGACCCGGUCUGUCCCCACUGGGCACAGUGCCAGCAUCCCACAGCGCCCUCUCCUCUGCUGGCCUUUCGCUGGCCUUGUGGGAUGGAGGAUGGAUUGAGGAGGGAAUGUGGAUGGUAAAGAGAAGAUGCAAAAGCAGAACAACAUCUAGCUCCAAAACCGAGCAGAGCAAAACCUCAGCGAACUCCCAAAAAGCACAACUGUCACAGACUGUGCCAAAGUCGGCGGCUCCCUCCGCCCUUGCCACGGCCUUCAAUACGAUCAGUUAUGGGAUUGUUCCCUCCCCCCCCCCUCCGGAAUACAUCUCUUCUUUGAAAAUGAAGUUGAUGAAAAACGA